AUUUCAAGAAUUGUAUUGGGGUCUUUGCAACAGUGUCAAAAAAAUAAACGGACAAUACGGUUUGCAGCUGUUAAUCGGUCUGUUGCUAAAUGUCAUGGAUCUUGUCAUUACGCCAAAAAUGUUGAUAGUGAAAAUAUUUAAUCCUGAGCGUUUCGGGCCUAUCACCUUUGAUGUAAUAAUCAGUCUCACUCUUUGGUUAUCGUCUCAUCUUUGCUUUUUAUUUUUUAUGGUGAUACCUACUUCAUAUGCUGCCUCAAAGGCCGAAAAGACAGCAUGUAUUAUUUGUGAACAUUUAAACAUCUCUUUUGCUAAAGACGACAUAGCACAGUUGGAGUUAUUUAUCCUUCAACUGCAAAAGUUCAAGCUACGAUUUUCUAUCUGUGGAGUCAUUACGUUGCAAAGAUCUACAAUAACAACGGUGAUCGGAACAGUCAUUACAUAUCUAGUGAUUUCCAUCCAGUUUCUUAGGAGCUCAUAAUUUACGAAGGUCAUGGAAUUUAGAAUCAUUCGAUUAAUAUAGUAAUAAAGCUUUUCUAAUAUGUAGAAAAAUUGUUAAAAUGUAUUAUUUUUAAUGAAUUACCAUUAUAAACAUUACUGUAUAAUCAUUUUUUUGUUAAAAUGGUUAAUAUCUAUGCGUGUUUUGCUAUAGUUGC
Molecule: long non-coding RNA, 653 nt
Organism: Adelges cooleyi (spruce gall adelgid)
Lineage: Eukaryota; Metazoa; Arthropoda; Insecta; Hemiptera; Adelgidae
Exons: 4
Source: RefSeq, a predicted model, not a curated record